RNAcentral lists this ribosomal RNA (468 nucleotides) under uncultured bacterium. Its description in RNAcentral is "partial 16S ribosomal RNA". It matches the Rfam family "Bacterial small subunit ribosomal RNA", at positions 28 to 507 of the family's 1533-position model. The record is from RNAcentral.
GACGAACGCUGGCGGCGUGCUUAACACAUGCAAGUCGAACGGAAAGGCCCUGCUUUUGUGGGGUGCUCGAGUUGCGAACGGGUGAGUAACACGUGAGUAACCUGUCCUUGACCUUGGGAUAACUUCAGGAAACUGGGUCUCAUCCCGCAUAGGAGCUAUUGCUGCAUGGUGGGGGUUGGUAAGUUUCGGCGGUUGGGGAUGGACUCGCGGCUUAUCAGCUUGUUGCUUGGGUAGUGUCUUACCAAGGCUUUGCCGGGUAGCCGGCCUGAGCGGGUGACAGGCCACAUUAGGACUGAGAUACGACCCAGACUCGUACGGUAGGCAGCGGUGGAGAAUAUUGCACAAUAGGCGGAAGCAUGAUGCAGCAACGCCGCGUGCGGGAUGACGUCCUUCGGGUUGUAAUCCGCUGUCGCCUGUGACGAAGCGAGAGUGACGGUAAUGGGUAAAGAAGCACCGGCUAACUACGUG